RNAcentral lists this ribosomal RNA (643 nucleotides) under uncultured bacterium. Its description in RNAcentral is "bacterial SSU rRNA". It matches the Rfam family "Bacterial small subunit ribosomal RNA", at positions 97 to 726 of the family's 1533-position model. The record is from RNAcentral.
GGCGGACGGGUGAGUAACACGUGGGUAACCUGCCUGUAAGACUGGGAUAACUUCGGGAAACCGAAGCUAAUACCGGAUACUUUCGAGCAUCGCAUGAUGCUUGAUGGAAAGACGGCUUCGGCUGUCACUUACAGAUGGACCCGCGUCGCAUUAGCUAGUUGGUGAGGUAACGGCUCACCAGGGCGACGAUGCGUAGCCGACCUGAGAGGGUGAUCGGCCACACUGGGACUGAGACACGGCCCAGACUCCUACGGGAGGCAGCAGUAGGGAAUCUUCGGCAAUGGGCGAAAGCCUGACCGAGCAACGCCGCGUGAGCGAUGAAGGCCUUCGGGUCGUAAAGCUCUGUUGUUAAGGAAGAACAAGUACGAGAGUAACUGCUCGUACCUUGACGGUACUUAACGAGAAAGCCACGGCUAACUACGUGCCAGCAGCCGCGGUAAUACGUAGGUGGCGAGCGUUAUCCGGAAUUAUUGGGCGUAAAGCGCGCGCAGGCGGUUUCUUAAGUCUGUUGUGAAAGCCCACGGCUCAACCGUGGAGGGUCAUUGGAAACUGGGAAACUUGAGUGCAGAAGAGGAAAGCGGAAUUCCACGUGUAGCGGUGAAAUGCGUAGAGAUGUGGAGGAACACCAGUGGCGAAGGCGGCU